AAAGUUAUGGACUCCGUAACCGCCCGAUUGGUUACUAUUCUGCCCGCUGGACUCAGUUGCUAGAGGAGGCCCAUCCUGUCUCCGAGCUGUUUUUGCUGCCCAGGCCCUAUUGGACAAAACUUUGGAUUUUGUUCUGGGUUAUCCCCUACAGCUACUUGCCCCUCACGAUAUCUCUACCAUCUUGAAUCAAGUGCAGCCCAAGCAUAUAUCCUCUGCCCGCCACCUCCGGUUACAAUGCACUCUACUCCUGCCUGACAAUGUCACACUGCUUCGAUGCCAGCAGCUGAACCCCGCUACCCUUCUUCCUCUUGUCUCUGGACAAACAGGAAGAAGAGAACACAGACUUACCUGCUCCUACCUUGGAUGAACAUGAACAUGAUUGCUUUGAACUCAUGAAGGCGGAAACCACCCAUCUACCCUCUGUCCUGGAUUCACCGAUCCCAGAUCCUCAACUCACCUUGUAUGUUGAUGGCUCCAGAUUUGAAGAUUUGUUCGGCAAUUACCAUACAGGAUAUGCGGUUACCACAGAGACUACAGUUAUGAAAGCCGCCUCGCUCCCAGCAUCCAUGUCUGCUCAAGAGGCUGAGCUUUAUGCCCUUACAGUAGCCUGCCAGCUUGCAGAAGGACGAACAGCAAACAUCUAUACCGAUGUGCGGUAUGCACUGGGCCCAAGACUUUGGGGUGAUAUGGAAGACUCGAGGCUUCUUGACUACAGCUGGACCUCCAGUGAAGUAUGGCAAAGCAAUAGAUGCGCUCCUGACAGCACUCCAACUCCCUGAACAAGUAGCAAUACUCAAGGUUAAAGCCCAUGGAAAGAGAACCACACCAGAAGCCAGAGGAAACUACCCUACCUUGCCGAUGAAACAGCAAAACAAGCAGCCAUGACCCCUUUAGAGGCUCAAACCACAGACUUCGUGGGGAUAUACCAUUCACAGCCAGAAGCCUACUCAAAAAGACUCAAACAGAUGCUGCAGACCAAGAGAAAACUACAUGGAAUAAGAUGGGAGCAGUACAGAUGAAUGAACUUUGCACUGUAGGAACCCACCCAUGUCUCCCCAGAGCUUUGUACCCAGCUGUGGUACAGUGGGCCCAUGUGCCAACCCAUCUCUCAAAGACUUUGAUGAACUCACUCAAAAACAAACAUUAUGUAGCUCCAGGAAUCACUACUUUAACUAACCAGUACUGCAAGUCCUGCCACACCUGAUGAAGAAUUCACCUUUGAUGAACUCACUUAUAAACAAACAUUUGAUGUAAUUUUCUAAUACUUAUUCCCUUGUUAUAUAUUUUUCUCAGACCCCAAUGCAGGCAUCAUCUACCCUAUGCCUAUCUUGGAGAUCUGUGUAGUACUUAUCAAUUAAUCAGAUGAUUCACUAUACUAAAAGGAUUCAUCCCCACCAUUUAGACAGCCCAGGUUUUGCCGGGUCCGUGCUUCUCCUUUUUUGUCAGCUGGUUCUGUUUGGCUCCCCUCUAUCUCCACCCCCAUCACCUCUUACCCCUCCCUGCCCAGUGUAGGACCUGUAAGUGCGACCUCUCGUAGGCAUGGAGGACGCCCACCUACUUGCAGCCUGGUCUUUUCCAUCGACCCUCCCAUUCCAUGUGGUUCUCUGGGGGUGCUGUUUCUCGGUGAUAGGGUCCUGUGGUGGACCCAUGGUUUCAGUCUUUGACAUUGAUUUUUUGAGUUCAUGUUUUCAAUCAUUUCCCCCUGAAGAGACCUCCAUUAUCAAAGGUCGAAACGCGUCAGGGUUUCUAGUACAAGUCUACUUUUUUGUUACAUGAACUCACAUAGUUGUAUUUAUCUAUCUACUUUUAAAUCGUAUUUUGGAACUCAUGUCUUGAUCCCACUAGAACGCUUUUUUUCACCAUGUAUCUUUUUAAUAAAUUAUUUCUUGAACUUUGGAAUCCAUUCUAAUUUUUUGCUGCAACUCAAAGCCCCUUGGGGUACCUUUCCUUCUAUCAAAAUUGCUAUCAGGGGUGUGCAGCACCUAUAACCCACAGCUAGUAUCGUUUUCCCUUUGCUAACAUUUUUUUGGGUGGUUAAACACCCGCACCCCAUACCCGAUACUUGUGGGUUCAGGACAUGAGCUGUGUAUUGUACCCAACAAUUCUCCCUUCUACCUCUAUGAA
Rana temporaria (common frog) is the source of this 2124-nucleotide long non-coding RNA. RefSeq lists it as uncharacterized. NCBI's taxonomy places the organism in Eukaryota, Metazoa, Chordata, Amphibia, Anura, Ranidae. The transcript has 3 exons. The record is from RefSeq and is a predicted model, not a curated record.